GAUCUUGGUUCAGGAUUAACGCUGGCGGUGUGCCUAAUACAUGCAAGUCGAAUGGUAGCAAUACCAUGGCGAACGGGUGAGUAACACGUAGGUAACCUGUCUUUAAGCCGAGGAUAACCAUUGGAAACGAUGGAUAAUACUGGAUAGGACAUUUGAAGGCAUCUUUAGAUGUUUAAAGAUUUAUCACUUAGAGAGGGGCCUGCGGCGCAUUAGCUAGUUGGUGAGGUGAAGGCUUACCAAGGCGAUGAUGCGUAGCCGGACUGAGAGGUUGAACGGCCACAAUGGAACUGAGAACGGUCCAUACUCCUACGGGAGGCAGCAGUAGGGAAUUUUCGGCAAUGGGCGGAAGCCUGACCGAGCAACGCCGCGUGAACGAAGAAGUAUUUCGGUAUGUAAAGUUCUUUUAUUAGGGACGAAAAGACAGAUUGACGGUACCUAAUGAAUAAGCUCCGGCUAACUACGUGCCAGCCGCCGC
Molecule: ribosomal RNA, 475 nt
Filed under: uncultured bacterium
Lineage: Bacteria
Description: bacterial SSU rRNA
Rfam family: Bacterial small subunit ribosomal RNA
Source: RNAcentral